CCCUGAGCCUGAAGGUUAUGGUUUUCUUUCGUGAUUCGUCCGGUGAAAUACUAGCUUGAUGAGCCAGGUCCGCCUACUUAUACUUGAUGUUGUUGUGCUUGCAAUAUAUUUUUCUUGCUUCGGUGCAUAAUAUGUUCAGAAAUACUUGGUUCAUUUCGAUCACCGCCUCUGUGUACGUUAUACAAGUGUUGUUGUUUGGCAUGUGAAAUACUAGCUUGAUGAGCCAGGUCCGCCUACUUAUACUUGAUAUUGUUAUGCCUGCAAUUUAUCUUCCUUGUUUUUGUGCAUAAUAUGUUCAGAAAUGCUUGGUUCAUUUCGAUCACCGCUUAAUAUCUGGCAGAAGAUUGAUAUUAACUAUGAUGGUUCUCUGUAUUUUCUCUCAAAUACUCAUGUCUUGUUUAUUAAGAUGGACGGGCACCGCAACACCGCAUUCAUGUUCUAGAUCUUGUGUAUCAUCUGGCUUUACAAUUGAAACUCAUGAAUGGAGAAUUGUUUAUCUGCCAAGGGAGUGCAGACUGGACAACAUUGAUGGACUUCUACGCGGAUGCAUAGAACGAUGACGCGGAAGAAAAGGGCAUCGGCUUGCAGCAAAAUAGCAGAGGGGGAGUGACAUGCUCGUUUCUUUGGGAUUUUAUUCAGGGACUGCUCACAGACACUAUGGCUGCUCGACAGGUACACCUGCUCAUGCAAUUUUACCGUUCUGUAAAUUUAUU
This is a long non-coding RNA of Lolium rigidum, 713 nucleotides long. RefSeq lists it as uncharacterized. The record is from RefSeq and is a predicted model, not a curated record. NCBI's taxonomy places the organism in Eukaryota, Viridiplantae, Streptophyta, Magnoliopsida, Poales, Poaceae. The transcript is spliced from 3 exons.